GACGAACGCUGGCGGCGUGCUUAACACAUGCAAGUCGAACGGAAAGGCCCUGCUUUUGUGGGGUGCUCGAGUGGCGAACGGGGGAGUAACACGUGAGUAACCUGCCCUUGACUGUGGGAUAACUUCAGGAAACUGGGGCUAAUACCGGAUAGGAGCUCCUGCUGCAUGGUGGGGGUUGGAAAGAUUCGGCGGUUGGGGAUGGACUCGCGGCUUAUCAGCUUGUUGGUGGGGUAGUGGCGUACCAGGGCUUUGACGGGUAGCCGGCCUGAGAGGGUUACCGGCCACAUUGCGCCUGAGAUACGGCCCAGACUCCUACGGGAGGCAGCAGUGGGGAAUAUUACACAAUGGGGGGAAGCCUGAUGCAGCAACGCCGCGUGCGGGAUGACGGCCUUCGGGUUGUAAACCGCUUUCGCCUGUGCCGAAGCGUGAGUGACGGUAAUGGGUAAAGAAGCACCGGCUAACUACGUG
RNAcentral lists this ribosomal RNA (468 nucleotides) under uncultured bacterium. RNAcentral describes it as "partial 16S ribosomal RNA". It matches the Rfam family "Bacterial small subunit ribosomal RNA", at positions 28 to 507 of the family's 1533-position model. The record is from RNAcentral.